RNAcentral lists this ribosomal RNA (1334 nucleotides) under uncultured bacterium. RNAcentral's name for it is "bacterial SSU rRNA". It matches the Rfam family "Bacterial small subunit ribosomal RNA", at positions 28 to 1365 of the family's 1533-position model. The record is from RNAcentral.
GACGAACGCUGGCGGCGCGCCUAACACAUGCCCUUCGAACGGGGUGCGUUCGAAUGAAGUUUUCGGAUGGAAUUUGGAUGUACCUAGUGGCGAACGGGUGAGUAACACGUGAAUAACCUGCCCUGGAGUGGGGGGACAACAGUUGGAAACGACUGCUAAUACCGCAUAAGCCCACAGAGCCGCAUGGCUCAGGGGGAAAAGGAGCAAUUCGCUUCAGGAUGGAUUCGCGUCCAAUUAGCUAGAUGGUGAGGUAACGGCCCACCAUGGCGACGAUUGGUAGCCGGACUGAGAGGUUGAUCGGCCACAUUGGGACUGAGACACGGCCCAGACUCCUACGGGAGGCAGCAGUGGGGAAUAUUGCACAAUGGGGGAAACCCUGAUGCAGCGACGCCGCGUGGAGGAAGAAGGUCUUCGGAUUGUAAACUCCUGUCGUUGGGGACGAUAAUGACGGUACCCAACAAGAAAGCCACGGCUAACUACGUGCCAGCAGCCGCGGUAAAACGUAGGUGGCAAGCGUUGUCCGGAAUUACUGGGUGUAAAGGGAGCGCAGGCGGAAGGACAAGUUGGAAGUGAAACCCACGGGCUCAACCCGUGAACUGCUUUCAAAACUGUUUUUCUUGAGUGGUGUAGAGGUAGGCGGAAUUCCCGGUGUAGCGGUGGAAUGCGUAGAUAUCGGGAGGAACACCAGUGGCGAAGGCGGCCUACUGGGCACUAACUGACGCUGAGGCUCGAAAGCAUGGGUAGCAAACAGGAUUAGAUACCCUGGUAGUCCAUGCCGUAAACGAUGAUUACUAGGUGUGGGAGGAUUGACCCCUUCCGUGCCGCAGUUAACACAAUAAGUAAUCCACCUGGGGAGUACGACCGCAAGGUUGAAACUCAAAGGAAUUGACGGGGGCCCGCACAAGCAGUGGAGUAUGUGGUUUAAUUCGAAGCAACGCGAAGAACCUUACCAGGUCUUGACAUCGGAUGCAUAGCUAAGAGAUUAGCGAAGUCCUUCGGGACAUCCAGACAGGUGGUGCAUGGUUGUCGUCAGCUCGUGUCGUGAGAUGUUGGGUUAAGUCCCGCAACGAGCGCAACCCUUACUGUUAGUUACUACGCAAGAGGACUCUAGCAGGACUGCCGUUGACAAAACGGAGGAAGGUGGGGACGACGUCAAAUCAUCAUGCCCUUUAUGACCUGGGCUACACACGUACUACAAUGGCGUUAAACAAAGAGAAGCGAAGCCGCGAGGUGGAGCAAACCUCAAAAACAACGCCCCAGUUCAGACUGCAGGCUGCAACUCGCCUGCACGAAGUCGGAAUUGCUAGUAAUCGCGGAUCAGCAUGCCGCGGUGA